UUAUGGUGGCUGGUCUGUAUGGGAAACUGAAUCCUUGACCCUGAUGUUACAAGGCUGUACUCUAACCAGCUGAGCUAACUGGCCAGCCUCAGAGUGUGGAGAUUUUAAGUACUAAAGUUUGACUUUUGUUCUAAUCCUGAAAUGAAUUAGCAUGGGUCCAACUAUAAAUUUUUUUUUUUUUUUUUUAACUUUAAUUAUGGGUGUUGCUGUCAUGACUUUUCCUAGAAACUUCACCUCAUGGCUAAGUUUCUUCCCUGUAUAGUGUGAAUACGAGCACUGGAUUCCAUAAUAAACCCGACCCUGUAGUUCCCUUUAGAAAAAGCCCCUUUUUGGGGUGGAUACGGACCAGACCGAGGGUGGGCACUUGGGUGGGAUGAAGAGGUGGGCAUGAGAAGCUUGAACUCACCAGCCUCUGCAUUCUAGGGAGGCACAACCACAUGGUGAAAGGCAGCAAGUGCUUCCUCUGCAGGCCACGGCUCAGCAUCUUUGUGAACAAAGGUUUGCCUGGUCACCUUGGGAAGGCACCAGCCCCUUCUUUAAAACAUGCUGCAGCCCAGCCUGACCUCAGACCAGCGCAGAGAAGCCAUGCACUUCCUGGGCCACCUCCUUUCUCCUCCCCAGCAGGAGAAGCGGCACUUUGUUACUCGAGUGAAUCAGCAGACUCUGCUUUUUGCAGAAAGCAAGAGAACUGAAAAUCCUGGAUUAACUAAGUGACAGUAUUCUUGUUUGCACUUACUACCCACCCCCACUGUUUGGAAACCUCUACAGAUUCAAACAAACUCUAUUCUUGUAUAGUUUUAAUCAGUUCUUACUGUAGAAUCUGGAGUCAAUAAUUUGUUUUUUAUAAAUAAUAUAUAUUAUGUAUAUGAAAUGUGUAUCUAUAGUAUGUCUAUUUGGAGACAGACAAGACUGCACACUAAAAUGCAGAUAAAGAUGAUUUGUAGAAAAUCAUAAGGUACUGGACUUUGUUAUGAAGCAACUUGGGCGAUUUCUUAUACAUGAGCAGAUGAAAAAUAUUUUAUUGCCUAAGAAUGAGCUUACAAACCCCGCCUCGCAGAAAAGGUUAUAGAAUACUGUUCUUUAUAACCAAAGAACCUACAUAAGACUGAACGUUUUUGCUGUCCGCUCUUGUAUUGUGUGAACAUUUAUGUUUGACUGCAAAUUUGGUGCCAUACUUCCCUUGGCUACCAAGCCAUGUGCUACUGUUCUCUGUCCUCUGUUUCAUAAGCACACUGAGAAAUCUCACAGCUACAUUCUUCGGGCUUCCACCUGGCCUGCCACCUGCUGACUUAACCUUGUAUUAUAACCCUGGACAAUGACGGGGCUCUGACUCCAGCAUUUCCUAAACCUUUGAUCAGCCCAGCCAGGCAGGUGGAAUGCAGAGAGCAGUAUUACUGUAAGAAAAUACAGGGACGAACCAUGAGUUGGGGAGGGCUUGUUGGUUUGGGGGUUUUUCUGGUGUGUGUGUGUGUGGUUUUGUUUCAGAUUGGUAGGUUUCAUUGUGGUGUGGUUUUGCUGUUGUUACUUUGCUUGAUUCUGGAAAAUGCUAAAGAGAUGGACUAAGCUAUAAAGUUCACCGUUUCACACUUUACUAUCUUUACAGGAGAUGAUUAAAUGCAGAUAAUCCUGCUUUUGUGUCUUCAUUUGUAAAAUUCUCCUAUAAACGGAGACAUUGAGGAAUUAUGUGUGUGGAAAUUUUUACAAAAGUACUUUCUGUCCCUAUUUGGUAGAUGCCUGUACCAUUGGUUUGAAUGUACAGCUAUAAAUGUGUUGUGAGAGCUAGAGCAAGAGAGCGUGUACAGCCUGCUGUUCCUUGUUUAAGUUCUCAGCAUCGGUAAAUGAGUAAGAAUGUUUAAUGAAAAGCUGCUGUUCAUGAUUUUUGUGUAUAGUGAGCUGACUGUAGUAUUUUACUAUUGUCUGUUUAAAAAAGAAAAACUGUAAUUUAUAUCGCCUUUCAACUUUAUUGUAUUUAAUGGGUACAGAUUUGUGUGUGUUUGUGUGUUUUAGAAUACAAACUGUCUAAUUCCAAUUUUAAAA
Galeopterus variegatus (Sunda flying lemur) is the source of this 2037-nucleotide long non-coding RNA. RefSeq lists it as uncharacterized. The record is from RefSeq and is a predicted model, not a curated record. The transcript is spliced from 2 exons. Lineage: Eukaryota; Metazoa; Chordata; Mammalia; Dermoptera; Cynocephalidae.